CCGAGUUUACAACUCCCAAACCCCUGUGAACAUACCUAUAUGUUGCCUCGGCGGAUCAGCCUGCGCCCCGUAAAACGGGACGGCCCGCCGCAGGAUCCACAAACUCUGUUUUUAUUGUAACUUCUGAGUAACAAAACAAAUAAAUCA
RNAcentral lists this unclassified non-coding RNA (147 nucleotides) under soil metagenome. RNAcentral describes it as "partial internal transcribed spacer 1". The record is from RNAcentral.